UUUUUUUUUUUUUUUUUACCAAAGCUUUCUUUUUUCCAAGAUAAUUUUGUUUUGUGCUGUUCAGUCAAACAUAUUUCUUAUAGGCAAUGAUAGAUGUGACAGAAUUGUCUUCUUCAAAGGGACCUUUUUGAAUUUGAUGAAUUUAUUUUUUCCUAAUUUUUUCCCUUUUUAAAAGUUGGGGGAGGCAAGAACUUAAUCAGCCAAACAAUAAUUUUUAUGUAGACAAUUAACAUUGCAGUGGUUGCAGUGGCUGCACCUGAGCAACAGGUGGGCUCAGGGUUUCAAAGUUUACACAGGUGGUGUCAGGUGUGAUUCAAAGCUUAAAUCUGUGAUUGAUUUUUUUAUUUGUAGCCUGGACUAAAUAUGUGUCAAGUGUCUCUGCCAAUCUUCUUUAAAGUCAAAUUGACUCUCUUAACUAGCCUCUGUUUUGUUUAAAAACACCAAACCAGACCUCCUCAUGCAUUUUUAGAUGUUUAAAACUGUAAAGUGUCCUUAGCACCUGAGCUGAAGUACAUUUACUUCAGUCUUCUUUUGUAGUUCACCGGGUGACUUUGAGCACAAGCUAUCCAAAAUGAUGUGCCUGGCAGGAUAAAGAAGUUUGCAGCUGGAAAAUGAGGGUAUUCAAAUGCAUCCCACUUGGCCUGGGAGCUAGCAGGAAUCUCAGAUUUGGGAUGUGAGCCAGUACCUCACUCGGAAAUCAACAUGGGUAUGGCAACAACAAGGAAGACACACCAAAGAAUUUGUUAUUCCUUUUUUUCCUUUUUCAAACAAAAAAUACCACCAGAGUAACUUUGUCUCUGCUCCCUCAAGGACGUGCUCAUUAUUAUUCUGUGUAGGGUCAGGACAGAAGGAGGUGGGUUAUGCUGUGUUUAACAAUGGGCCUGAAGAACUUAACCAAAUCAGACCAAGGAUAAAGGAAUCGAUAGUAAGAGACAAAUAAAAUAAGCUGUGCUGCCUUCUGAAUAUCACAUUAGUGUCACACGUUUUCCUUUCUGUUUUAUGAAAAAAAAGCUCUGAGCUCAUAUAAAUGUCUGUUUGUUUUUCAGGUGUGGUGGUGCUCAAGAGUUCUCCCUCUUUAAUGGCAGAAAAUUGAAGGCAGACAGAGAUGGAUGGGGGAAAAAGCAGAACACAGAAAUAAGUGGGAUAAAAUUAAGAUUCCAGGGUUGGUAUUAGCUAUGAGGAAAUUAAAAGGGGAUCACCAGAAUUAAAAGACACCCCCUCCUUCUCUUUCCCAAACAAACAAAAAAAAAUGCCACCAGUAAUGACAAAAAACUCUAGUGGCCUGUGCAUUCCAGUAGUUUUAGUGUAGCCAGAGUAUAUUUUUGUAUUUGACAAGGUAUAUUUAAUAAUAAUAGAAAGCAUCUAGGUCCUGUCGAGGAAUAAUUGACCCUAUUGCAAAGAUAGAAAUUAGAAGAGUGUGUAAGUCCUAGGGCAUCAGUGAUAUUGUGGUAUCAUGGCCUAAAUGUAAGUGUAGGCACAGCUUCCUAUUCAGUCAGGACUUCUAUAUAUCCUUAUUCUUCCUGCUUUUUCUUUUGUUGUGCUUUGGAAACUGAAAGGCUUGUGGCUGCUUUCUCUUUGUUAUUCUGAUGAUUUUACCACUGAAAACACAACUUUCUUUUUUAGCUUUUUAAUCCAGUCAUCUAGAUCUGCAUGCAGUGGUUCACAGACAGCAUGGGAAAUUUCAGUUGAAAACAACCCAUGUUGAGUUUUUAAUAUUUUCAUUGAAUUGUCAAACUGGGUGAAUUCAUUGGUGUAUCACCAAGUGACAUUCUGAGAAAAUUCAUAGACAUGUUUAGUUUAAAAUUUCCAGAGAAUAGGGAUAAAAAUGUCUAUUUUUACUGUAUUUUUGCCUUUAUUGCCAUGUAAAAAAGUUCCCAUAUGCCCUAUAGAUCGUAUUUUUUUGCACUAAGUCUAGGUUCCACGAAAAGCAACAAUUUCUGGGUAAACAUGUAAAAGAGUCUUUAUUCCCCCAGUUCAGAAGUUUAAUUCUCUCUCCUGGACAGCCACUUUUAAUUACAGAGCUGCCCAUUUGUUGUGUUCCUGACACAGAAUCCUGCAUAAGGCCAGGAUUUCUGACUUCAUAGAAAUAAAUUUGACACUGCUGACAUGAGAGGCAUCACUGAACUUUGCUGCGAGAGGGUAAAAAAAAAAGUAGUAGGGAAACAAAAUAAUAUACAACGGAUUAAAAGGGUCCAGAACCCCAAAAUGCUCAUGCCUAAUAAAAAAAGGGAUGAGACUACUGAAAAAUACACAAUAAUCUGAUUUCAUGUGGAAGGUCACUCUGCUAGCUAUGUGGUGCAGAAGAGACUGAUUUGAGAGCUGGCUGCCAGAGAGCAGGAAAUAAAUGAAAGGAAACUUCCUGCCCCUACAGCUGCAAACAUCUGAGAAGGAGGAGUGGGGAGCCACCCACUUGUCUAGAAAUGCCUUUCAAGAGUCCUUUUGAAACGGUGCACUUGGGAGAGCAUUUACCUGAACAAGAGCAAGUAAUCCCUAAUUGAACUGCCAGAGGCUGUUUCUUGACAAUGCAAAGCAUUUUACUUUUAGCCUUCCCCUCUUCUGGUGCUGAUUGAUAGAUAGGUUGAUUCUGCAGUUACCACUGUAAUAGAAAUCAUCACAAUACUAUCAAGUACAGUUUGGAGAGGGUUUUCAUUCUCUUUUCAGUAACUUUAUGAAGAUCAAACCAAACCAAUUGGCUUAAAAACACUGGAACAAUUUAGCAAGAAAUCCUUGUUUGCAUAGUUUUGAUUUAUGUAAGUCAUCAAAAAAUUCAAAAGGUAAUAAAUCUUAAAACAAAAGUUAGUUUUAGUGUGAAGUAAAAGCAUCCAAAUACUGAUAUUCAUUGAAAAGUUACUUUGAGUUAGCUACCUAUCAUGGGCCUAGUUGUAUAUGUAUAUAUAAUUUAAUGAAUUUCUUGCUAUCUCUACGUUUCUAUUAAAAAAAAAAAAAAAUACUGCUAUGAUUUAGUUGCUGCUGUGACUAAACCCAUGAGAUUUUAAGGACAAUAUUUCUUCUUUGUGCCUGGGUCUUGAGUAUUGUUGUCAUUAAAACUGCAAGUUGGGAAAAGAAAAUCUGUUCAUGAAGCAAGAGCCAUCCAUCUACAUGCCACACACUCAGAGUCUGGACCAGUUUGCACAGGCUGUUCUCACUGAGCCCAGCCUUGUUCACAUGUGCUGCAUUUAGUAUCAGCUGAUGCGUGAUAUAUAAAUAUGUUGUACUUUUCAAUUCUUUGUCAGACAGCUACAAACUUACUUUAUUAAUUUUAAUGUUAUUACAAGAAUGCUGUAUGUGGACCUUUUGUUGACUUUGUUCAUUGCUUUCACAGCAAGACUCUUCAUGGAAAUCAUUAAAGACUCAAUGAAUCUUACAGAUACCAUAAUGUGAGUAUGUUCUCAUCUUUCUUCCCAAAGGUGGUGGCCCCUGCUGAGUAUGUAAACAGAAAUGCAACCAAGUGUUGGCUACAAGAAAUGAUGAAAUAAAUUGUUUAAACAGCACCAGGAGUUUGGGUGAACCAGACUUUUUUUCUGGCACUGAUGUCUUUUCUGGGUUCUAUAAAAGGAAAACUCUACAGCAAUUAAGAAAUCUCUUAAACAAGAAAUCUCUUCAGCCUUCUCCUUUUAAUAACUAAUGAUUUACAUAUUUUUAAAAUUGUUUCUCUACUUUGCACUUGAGCACACAGAAUAGGUAGUGAUGGUAACAUAUAUGGUACUGAGGAAUCAAUCAAUGUGUGAUAAAAAUAUACAACUGCAGCUGCAAAUGCUGGAAUCACUGCUGCUCUGAUGCCUGUUCUUAUCUGUAAGUACUGGAGGAGGAGUUACAUUUCAUCUGUUGUCCAUGAACUGACAGGGGAAUAGAAAUGAGAAAAAUUCAGCAGCUUGUCCACAAAAAGAAAAUCCUGGGUAAAACCUGUGAUAGAUUUAAAGCUUUUAAUGUCCUUCACCCCAGCACUGCUUUUGGUGAAUUUGCUGUUCCCAGGGAGAUCUGUGUAGCCAUUUCUCUCUAUCAUUUAAAAAACCUUUCUCUGAAGAACUAAGGUUUUAUCCAGCAAUUAUUGCAGGUUAAAAAACAAAAUUUAAAAAAAAUCCCAAAGCCUACAUUGUUUUAUGUAUCUACUUUAUUAUUAUUUUUAAAGAAAUCCACUAAAUAUCUCACCUGAAUUUCUUCAAAAUGCUGAUCUACUGCACCCCUAGAAAGGGGAAGUUUUUAGUAUUUAAGGCCACCUCUCUCUUCAAUUUGAUUGGUGAUUUCUGCUUUUAUUUAUGAAUCACACUCACUCCCCAUCCCUAUGUAAGAUGGGAUCAAUCUCAUCCCAAAAUUUGACACAAUCCUGGCAAUGAUUGAGGUGAUUAGUCCUAGCCAUCAGUUUUACCCUUCAGAAUAAAAUGUGGCAAGUGAAUAAAGCCUGAUGGCAUGGCUGUGCAAAAUUUCAUUUAACAGCUCAUUGCAGGCAGGCCAAGUUGGAUUGCCAAAUAUAUCAAAUCACUUUUAUAGAUCUAAGCUGUCUACCUCCUGAUUUUCUUAAUCGUAAAUGGUAUAACAGAUAUUGCUAUGGUUUUCCCAUGCAUUGUAAAAGGAAAGUGUUUCAAAUAAGGAGCAGAGCAAGCUGAUUUGUUUGGUUAAGUUUACAGGUAUAGGUUGUAUGUACUCCAGAUGUUUGCACACAUUCCCAGAGUCCUAGGGCCCUUUGUUUCUCCUGAAUCCAUGCUGAACACUCCAAACACAUCCAGUCAGUAGGCAGUUGUUGUCAGUGAGUUACUAAAAGGCCUCGUCUGUUAUAUUUAUGUACUUUUCAUCCCAGAGUGAAUAGUUUUUGCUGUGUUGUUUCCAAUUCCAGGUACAAGGAAAUAUGCCAGAGUACAAGCUGCUUGCUUUGUUUACAGCUACCUUUUUGGUUCUGAUUUUUAGUGCAUGGGAUGACAAAAUGUGUCUGUUCCUCUCUUCCUGGCAUGGAAGUUUUACCUGGAUUUUUACCAUAGAUCUGAUCCCUGUAUCUAUAAUAAUACAUAGGUAUUUUUGCCUUGUCUUUUGAUCUCUACACACUUCACACACAUGUUCUGGGAGGAAAGGAGUUGCUGCUAUCCCUGUCUGAAAGACAAGGAGAUGAAGCAUGGAGAAGGAAAAUUACUUCUUUAAGAUCCCACACAAAGCUCAUGAACUAUUGCCCCUUUAGCUGAACCAAGACAAUUAGGUCUCAGAAAUGCAACAAAUGUUGUGGAAUGAAAACAUUUGUUACAGAAGGAUAUCUCCAGUGUAUCCUAUUUAGGAAAAGGCAGGCCUGUUGGUGGCUGUGUGUAUUCAUCCUGGCAUCAUGCUUUCAGAGGAAGAAAAACAGGAAGAAAUGUGUUGUGGAGUGCAUUCAUGUUCCUCUAAAUGGCACAGCAGUCCUGGGCUCCAUGCUUUUGUCUCAGAGAGUUGCCAGUAAAACAGGUAAAACAGAAUUCCAUUCUGAAGCAUUUCAGCUGCCUGUAUCACUGGCAAUGAGGCUGAAAGCCAGAACUCUUUUGUAACGAUGUGAGAAAUGAUGCCUUCAGCCCCUCCAGUAUAAACUUCCCCUAUGAAGUAAGUGUAAGCUUCUCCAGCAAAAUCACUUCAAUUAGAGGAUGUCAGCAUGCAUGUCAAAUCAGCUCCAUCUUGAACUUCCAGGUAGGAAUAGCCUUCAGGAGGCAGCUUAAUUGCUACUGUUUCACAGUGUGUGGCUGGGAGUUGGCAGUGUUUGACUAGGUAAGCUGUAUUAAAAAUUGCUUACAACAGAGAUAUUUGGGAAAGUCAUGAACUAUUUGGCAACAUAAUGGAAACAGAGAACAAGUUACUGAAUUAUGGCUUAAUUUCAAACUGUUUUCUAGUGAUAGGUUUGAAGAAACCUUCUCAGCAGAAAAAAGCCCAAGGGAUUAGGGAGAUGAUGUCAGCCUAGGAAAAAAAAUGAAAUUGGUAGAGGUUUGCUUGUUUUUUCUUUUUGUCUUAAGAAAAUAAUACCAGACAAAUACUAUUGCUUUCCAGCUUCACACCCCAGUGAAACAGCACAUUUCUUUUCAUGUCAGAUGACAUUUUCUGUUAAGCCCAUGACAGUUUAAUUUCAGUUAACCACUGCUAACAGCAAGAACACACAAAGAAAGGAGACAGUCCCACAGUUAUAGGCUGUAUAUGUAAAUUAAGUAAUCCAUUGUGUUGGGUCAUUGCGGAGGUUGUUGAUUAUUAAAAACUGGAAAAAAAAGGUUCUUCCCCCAUUCUUGUGACAACCUUUCUGCCUGACUGACACUUGUAAAACAUUUUGUCUAUAGAUAUGCAAAACUACCUGAGCUUGCAAUAAAUUGAAAUGGUGGAAGAAUGAAAUAUUAAGCCAUAAUUUUGUUGUUGAUUCAGUAUUCCAAGUGUAUGUCUGUAAACUCUGUUCUGAGGUUUAACUGUCUUUUUAAUGUCCCUUUCAUUUUGUUCAUUUUCAGAUGAUAACAUUAACAGAGUUGUGUUAUGUAAACACAUUGUAGUUACCUUCUUAUUGUUUUUGGAGGUGGAUAGGAUAUUCUGUAUGGUGCUAGAAAACAGGAGAUUCUGGAAUGCAACAAACUCCUGAAAAUACUCUUGUGCUAUAGGAAUGGUCAAUUUUUACAGCUUUUUAAUUGCUCUCUAUAAUUUUAAACUUUAUCCAAUAUCCAUCUUAUAGAAAUGUCAGUAACUGUCCUCUCUACUUACAGGUAGAGAUGAGCACAGUUUCUUCCUGAAAUCCUGUCAGUGUGAGCUCCUCUGUAACUUCCAAGAGUCUUAUUGUUUAAAAGUAUCUGUCAAGACCUGUAAUAAUUUAUCAUUAUUACCAAAUUUAUCAUUAUGACCAAUUAUCAUACUACCAAAAAACAUACAGAUAAUUUCCACCAAUAUCCAAUAUAGAACAAAAUAGGGAUACUGUAGGCUGAUUUGGUUUUGUUGCUGAUCAUGAUUCCAUAAAUACUCUGUAAUUUGCCCUUACACAAAGAAAUUUUAAUAUACAAUUUCUCAAUAGGUUAAUGUAAGAUAAUGAAUUUCUGCUGGGAAACAUCAUUAUUUAUAGAUAAGGAAAGGAAAAGUUUCCAUGUGCAAAAUUAAGAAAAAGGAGGGUGGAUGAAGGAAAGGAACAGAGAAGACGAAUCAAAGUGAAUCCUAGAACCCUGCACCUCUAUCAGGACUUUAUUUUCUCUCAGUUGGACAAAACCUGUCUGUAUUUAUUUCAUGGGGCUGUGU
Molecule: non-coding RNA, 7206 nt
Organism: Taeniopygia guttata (zebra finch)
Lineage: Eukaryota; Metazoa; Chordata; Aves; Passeriformes; Estrildidae
Source: RefSeq, a predicted model, not a curated record